AUGGCGCGCAGGAGGGGCGUCGCCGCGGCGGUGGCGGCGGCCGCGACCUCCCCGGCCCUCGUGGCGGCCGUCUCCUUGAUGGCACUGGUGUACUACUACACGGUGUUCGUCUUGCUGAACCACUGGCUCGGCCUCGGCACGACGGCCGGCGCCGCCCACGCGGCCGCCUUCUCCCUCCUCCUCGCCGCCUGUUUCUUCUCCUUCCUCUGCGCCGCGGCCGCCGAUCCCGGAUCCGUGCCCUCUGCCUUCUCCCCCGACGCCGAGGACCCGCAGGGACAGGGACUGAAAUCAAGGUAUUGUGACAAGUGUUGCAUCAACAAGCCUGCUCGAACCCACCAUUGUAAGGUCUGCAAAAGGUGUAUUCUGAAAAUGGAUCACCACUGUGUUUGGAUUAACAACUGUGUGGGCUAUGCAAAUUACAAAGCCUUUAUCAUCUGCGUCCUGAAUGCAACCAUUGGGUCCCUUUAUUCAUUGGUGAUAUUUGUAUGUGAUCUUCUACGAACAGAGCAUGACUUUAGUAUUCUUUAUGUGAAGAUCAUCCAUAUCUUGGCUGGUGUUGUCUUAUUCUCCUUGUGCUUGACAAUAGGUUCUUUGUUAUGCUGGCACAUCUAUCUCAUAUGUCAUAACAUGACAACCAUAGAGUAUCGAGAAGCAGUUAGAGCGAAGUGGCUUGCAAAAAAGAGUGGACAGAAUUACCGCCACCGGUUUGAUCAGGGCACGAGGAAGAAUAUUCAAAUGAUCAUGGGCCCAAACGUUUUCUGCUGGCUUUGCCCCACUGCGACAGGACAUCUUAAGGAUGGCACCGAGUUCCAGAAUACGAACAACUGA
RNAcentral lists this ribosomal RNA (828 nucleotides) under Triticum aestivum (bread wheat). RNAcentral describes it as "partial small subunit ribosomal RNA". Lineage: Eukaryota; Viridiplantae; Streptophyta; Magnoliopsida; Poales; Poaceae. The record is from RNAcentral.